GUGGUCCUACGAGGGGCAGCAGUGGGGAAUAUUGCACAAUGGGGGAAACCCUGAUGCAGCAAUGCCGCGUGAGUGAUGACGGCCUUCGGGUUGUAAAGCUCUGUCUUCAGGGACGAUAAUGACGGUUCCUGAGGAGGAAGCCACGGCUAACUACGUGCCAGCAGCCGCGGUAAUACGUAGGUGGCGAGCGUUGUCCGGAUUUACUGGGCAUAAAGGGAGCGUAGGCGGACUUUUAAGUGAGAUGUGAAAUACUCGGGCUCAACUUGAGUGCUGCAUUUCAAACUGGAAGUCUAGAGUGCAGGAGG
Molecule: ribosomal RNA, 305 nt
Filed under: uncultured bacterium
Lineage: Bacteria
Description: bacterial SSU rRNA
Rfam family: Bacterial small subunit ribosomal RNA
Source: RNAcentral